GCUGCCGUGCGACGGGCGACAAAGGAAGGUAGCAAAGUAACAAAAUGCCAUCAUCAUCAGUCUUUUUGUCUGCCAACAAGGACACUUCUCCCACACAAACACCCACAUCACCCACAAGCACAGCCACAUCCCCGCCCCGUUGACACUGACACUUAUGCAAUGCGGGCACGAGUACGAAUGCGAACAAGGCGCACUUAGAGAUUACUGAUGCUCUUCCUUCCGGGCGCCACCCACCGCCGCCCACUUCCACCCAUCGGCUGCGAAAUGAAUGGCCACGCAACCUUGCACUUUGUGCACUCGACAAACCACCACAAGGUCCGCCCUAUGCCCUCCAAUUCCUGCCAGAAUCAGAGACGCUGUUUCUGUGCUCGCCAGGGGCGAAUGGUUCGAAUGUUUUUCGGGGACUUCCCCAAUCAACGGACAUUUGGAAUGUGCCACUUUGGGGCAACCGAAAUCAAUUCAUUACGGAGCAGCAAUUAGUCGCAGAUUAAAAGUGUGUACCGUGUUCAUGAUAGAGUGCAUGGGGUAAAGGUCCUUUGUGGGCUAUUCCCAUGCGGUGAUUCAUAUCUCUUGCAUGGCAUGGCAGUAAAUUUUGCUUCAUUAAAAUCGGAUGACUGUAGAAUUGGGCAGUAUUUUUGGAAAGAGCGUUAACGAGCUUUUGUAGCCAUUUCCGGUUUCAUACUAAAAUUUUUAACUGCCUUGAUUUAAGUAUUAGUUCUGCAGUAUAAACUGGUGGAAAUGGUACCCCCUUUCCAGCGACCUCCACUGACAUUCGGUUCAGAUGAUGGCUGCCACUGACAUCGCUGCUCCGCUGACGUUAAGCCCCAUCGAGGAAGCAUGUCUGGGAAAGUUUCGCUUAAUUGCGCGGGAAAGCCGAACAAACAAGUCCUUGCUCGGUUGGUAUUUAAAGGACAGCACCUGCAGUUGAAGCCCCAAAAACACACUCUUCACCUUUAACAACAACAGACAUAUUUUGCUAUAAACGAUACACCGAGAGAAAAGCAUCAAUAUGAAAGGAUAUUUUCUAUGUAUGUCUAAAGAGCGUGGUCUUAACUUAACUCGUUUUUUGAACCUUCUUCAUAUCUGACUCGAUGGCUUUAUGGAUUCCUAGAGUAUUUCUGUGUUGAUCUUUGUUUAUAUUUAGGUCACGCCCCCACAAAAAUAAUUCGGUGGGGGAGCAAAUCGGGCGGAAUAAUUUUGCAAGUCACAAAUUAGCAUAUUCGACUGCUGACGCCUUUUUGGAUAGACAGGCGGUGAUUCUGAAGGCUCUCGACUUGGGGCUUCUCUCUUUCUCUACUUUUUGCUGGCAAGCGGAUUGCGGCGAUCCCAGAACUAAACGAAUUGUGUAUGUAUUAAUUUGCGUCACUCAAACGUCAGCAACAAGCUCAAAAGGUGACAAAAGCCAGGAUGAAUGAGGGUAGGAGCUGGAUUAGGGGGCACAAGGAUGGCCGCCAGGAGAGCCAAUGAGGUAGGUGAGCGAGAGAAAGCGAUGAUGACGAGAUUUGCCAUUGUUGUUGCUGCCGAUAUGAAAAGUGUCCGCCACAGGUGACUUAAUGUGCCACAAGCAGAUACGACAUACACACAGCCGUGGGUUGGGAGGGCGGCAGUCCUGUCUUGGCCGAGGCGCAGGAUACACAGCCACAUCCACAUCCCUGCGCCCUGCUUUGCCUUGCCUGCCUUUCCUUUCCUUUGGCUUUAACGUCAGCCAGCCCGUAGCUUUUUGUCUGUCUUUAUUGAUUUCAGCAGCUUUUAUAUUCGUAUUAGGCGGACGGACGGAUGGGCUCCAUUUGGAGAAUGGAUUUCGGGCAGGACACUUUCUAAUUAGUUUCGCAGGCGAUGGUCGCUGGCAACGCAAUCACACACCCACAUCCGAAAAAAAGGACACCAUAACUAGUGGAAUAACAGCGAAAAAUAAUGUUGCACACACGCACACACAUACGCUCGCAAACAAACCAAUACAUGCAUACAUCUAUACGUGUGCAUAAACAAGGAUUCCCCCACUGCGUAUACGUAAUGUCCUACCGUGUUAUCCUUAACGAAGCGUUGUGAGGCAUUUGUUGCUGAUCCUGCUGCUGCUCGAUGUUGUGCUGCGGCGCUUUAUUUGUAUGGAAGGCACUGUAAUUUACAGUUAGAUCGUUGCUGCGCCGCCUUUUCAAUAUAUUUAAUUUAGCAAAUAUGUAUUUCGUGUGCAGAAUGACUCGUCGUACACUUGUAAAAACACUUUAAAAACUCCUCGAACUAUUUUGUUGAUAUUGUCAAAUGUGCGCGCGUGUGUGUGUGUGUGUGUGUGCGAGUGUGCGGUCGGUGUUUGUAUGUAUGAGUGUCGGGUGGGGUGGGGGCGAAAAAAAGGUAAAAUGAAACUCAAGGCGCGACGUGCAGGGACUGUUCCUCAGCGGCGCACAUUACUCGACAGGACCACGGCGGAAGACUGUGUCAGGGAAAAAUCCGCCGGAGCUCCGGCCGCAAAGUCGCACUCCGAAGUCAAGAGUCCUCGCGCGCGAGAGAGCAGAGAGACUUGGCGAGCGAGUGAGAGAGAGAGCUUUGCGCUGGAGCUUUCCGCACUCUGACUUUCGCUUUCAGUCGGCAGGACAUCAGGACUGAGGACUCAAGGCUGGGACUGGGACUGGGCCUGGGAACUCAGUCGGCACAGGUCAGAAAUCGGGGGAUACCGCCAAACAUCCCUUGGCGGACUGACCUACAGCUACCCCAGUGCGGCUAAUCCUUGAUUCCAAUUUGUUCUUAGAUUCGCCGCUCUACAGUCAAACCCCCAUAAAGUUUCCUGUUCGAUAUUAAAUAUGUGUGUCAGCUAUAUGUAGCUGUAAUGUUUACCAUUCAGUGAAAAGCCAAUGAUAAACGAGUGCAGUCUAAAUACUAACAUUCUCUUUAUUUAAAUAUUCCUUUGUAUAAGAUUAAAAUGCAUGAUGUACUAGUUAAUAGUUGCAACUGGUAUUGGAUUUUUCCAUGGUAUACUUUUUAUAUGUAACCUAUGCGCUUAGUUCGUUAAUUUACGUGUUUUGUAGUUUUGUGGUUGCUUUUGCUCACUCUGUUCGAAAUGAAUGCAGAAUACUGUAACUUGUUACGUGUACAUUACAAAUUAAAAAUUACAAAUGGGUAAUCAUACGUUUUAUGCAUCGUUUUU
Molecule: long non-coding RNA, 3139 nt
Organism: Drosophila simulans
Lineage: Eukaryota; Metazoa; Arthropoda; Insecta; Diptera; Drosophilidae
Exons: 2
Source: RefSeq, a predicted model, not a curated record